This 698-nucleotide ribosomal RNA is filed under the name Salmonella enterica. RNAcentral's name for it is "partial 23S ribosomal RNA". The record is from RNAcentral. Lineage: Bacteria; Pseudomonadati; Pseudomonadota; Gammaproteobacteria; Enterobacterales; Enterobacteriaceae.
AGCGUCUGGAAAGGGCGCGCGAUACAGGGUGACAGCCCCGUACACAAAAGCGCAUGUGCUGUGAGCUCGAUGAGUAGGGCGGGACACGUGGUAUCCUGUCUGAAUAUGGGGGGACCAUCCUCCAAGGCUAAAUACUCCUGACUGACCGAUAGUGAACCAGUACCGUGAGGGAAAGGCGAAAAGAACCCCGGCGAGGGGAGUGAAAAAGAACCUGAAACCGUGUACGUACAAGCAGUGGGAGCCCCACCACCAAAGCAUUCUCUGGUGUUGAAGGCCCUGCAAAGCAGCAUCGCGGUGGCGGAGCGUCGUUUGCGACGCCCAACACACAAAACAAGCGGUGAAUGCUUUGGGGUGGGGUGACUGCGUACCUUUUGUAUAAUGGGUCAGCGACUUAUAUUCUGUAGCAAGGUUAACCGWAUAGGGGAGCCGGAGGGAAACCGAGUCUUAAYYGGGCGUUAAGUUGCAGGGUAUAGACCCGAAACCCGGUGAUCUAGCCAUGGGCAGGUUGAAGGUUGGGUAACACUAACUGGAGGACCGAACCGACUAAUGUUGAAAAAUUAGCGGAUGACCUGUGGCUGGGGGUGAAAGGCCAAUCAAACCGGGAGAUAGCUGGUUCUCCCCGAAAGCUAUUUAGGUAGCGCCUCGUGAAUUCAUCUCCGGGGGUAGAGCACUGUUUCGGCUAGGGGGCCAUCCCGGCU